Molecule: long non-coding RNA, 369 nt
Filed under: Canis lupus familiaris (dog)
Lineage: Eukaryota; Metazoa; Chordata; Mammalia; Carnivora; Canidae
Description: lncRNA (ENSCAFG00030007411.1)
Source: RNAcentral
CAAAAAUUGACACUCUCCUUAGGAAUAACUUCCUAGCUCUGGUGGCAGUCAACCUCAGGAAUAGGUUCCCCAUGCUGCUGCUUAUGAAACAGAGUAACUGAACUAUUCCAGACCUUCAAUCCCACCUACCUUUCUUGGAAAUGACACUGCUGCCACCUACUAUGAAUGGGAGACAGAAACCUGGGACAGAUUCCCCAGGUCUCUGAUGCUGAAUGUGCCCUGGAGAGAGAUGUGGAUGCUCACAGUGGCCCAGCAUGGUUCUUGGCACUGGUGCUUGGAGGAGGCAGGGGGACUACAGAGCCUGAGGAGAUAAGUAGCAAGCUGCUGGCUUCCAAGUGGUGCAGAGUGGCUCCAAGUCUUCCUAUGUGA